CGCUCUUUACGAUUGCUAAGUGAUUUAGGGCAUCCCCUUCUUUUUCUAAUCGAAACCCGAAUUAAUGCUAAAGAAAUAAGAAUAUGGAGGUGGAAAUAUUCAAUUCUGCUGCUGCCCAUGGUCAGAAAGCCAAAACAAAAUUCAGGACUGAGCCUGAAGAUUGCUGGGAUUUGAAUUUGGGAUCUUGCUGUGCUAUCUCACACCCCACUGGGUUGCAGCCUGUGGGUGAGCUCGGAGAACGUCAGGAAUGUGUCAGUUUCAGUCUGAGUGGGACUGCAGGAAGAACAGAUUUCACAGAACAGAACCACUAGGGUCUCAGUAUUAUUUUUCCUGUAAAGCCUGCAAGAAGUGAAACUCAAAGAACAUAUAUGGUAACAUGCAGUGAAAUGGCCACUUUAUUACUUACACCUGUACACCUUCAAAUAUCUAAUCAGCUAAUCACGUGGCAGCAACUCAAUGCAGAAACGCAUUCAGACAUGGUGAAGAGGUUCAGUUGUUGUUCAGACUGGGGAAGAAAUGUGAUGUAAGUGUCUUUGACCAUGGAAUGAUUGUUGGAGCCAGACCAAGUGGUUUAAGUUUCUCAGAAACUGCUCCUCAGAAAUGGUGUGAAAAACAAAAAAAAAAAAAAUCCAGAGAGCAGCAAUUCUGUGGGUGAAAACACCUUGUUCAUGAGUGAGGUCCGAGGAGAAUGGCCAGACUGGUUCAAGCUGACAGGAGGGCGACAGUAACUCAAAUAACCACUCGUUACAACAGUGGCAUGCAGAAUAGCAUCUCUGAAUGUACAACACAUCAAAUCUUGAAGUGGAUGGGCUACAGCAGCAGAAGACUGCGAAGAUAGACUCAGUGGACACUUUGUUAGACACAGGAGGUACCUGAUAAUGUGGCUACUGCGUGUAUAUCCAUCUCCACGGUCUUUAGAAUUAGCUGUAAUUGAUGGUAAUUGAAUGACAAAGUUCCUGAUGA
Hypanus sabinus (Atlantic stingray) is the source of this 963-nucleotide long non-coding RNA. RefSeq lists it as uncharacterized. Lineage: Eukaryota; Metazoa; Chordata; Chondrichthyes; Myliobatiformes; Dasyatidae. The record is from RefSeq and is a predicted model, not a curated record. The transcript is spliced from 3 exons.